Molecule: ribosomal RNA, 483 nt
Filed under: uncultured bacterium
Lineage: Bacteria
Description: partial 16S ribosomal RNA
Rfam family: Bacterial small subunit ribosomal RNA
Source: RNAcentral
UUGAACGCUGGCGGCAUGCUUUACACAUGCACGUCGAACGGCAGCGCGGGCUUCGGCCUGGCGGCGAGUGGCGAACGGGUGAGUAAUGCAUCGGAACGUGCCCAGUAGUGGGGGAUAGCCCGGCGAAAGCCGGAUUAAUACCGCAUACGACCUGAGGGUGAAAGCGGGGGACCGAAAGGCCUCGCGCUAUUGGAGCGGCCGAUGUCGGAUUAGCUAGUUGGUGGGGUAAAGGCUUACCAAGGCGACGAUCCGUAGCUGGUCUGAGAGGACGACCAGCCACACUGGGACUGAGACACGGCCCAGACUCCUACGGGAGGCAGCAGUGGGGAAUUUUGGACAAUGGGGGCAACCCUGAUCCAGCCAUGCCGCGUGCGGGAAGAAGGCCUUCGGGUUGUAAACCGCUUUUGUUCGGGAAGAAAUCCUCUGGGCUAAUACCCCGGGGGGAUGACGGUACCGGAAGAAUAAGCACCGGCUAACUACGUG